CUGGGGGGUGGGGAGGAAGCAGUUCCCCAGGAAGCUCAUUGCCAAGCCUGGGCCAGGACAAGGCCCCUGCUUCUCACGGAGCCAUGUGAUGCGGGAGUGUGUCACAUGCUCCUGACUGUCCCUCUCUUUUCCAUCUUGGAAAUGCCGCGUGGACCCUGCUGCGUGCCUGUCCUGUGCCGAGGACACGGGUCCAGACGGAGAUACCAGACGGUAGAAGACAGGCCAGUGGGAGCCAACUAGGAAGGUCAGACCCACCGGUGGGUGGUUGGCCUGAUCUACCUACGGGGUGACGGUCUACCUGUGGGGUGACAUCACUUUAUGGGGAGACUUUCAGGAACGCUCCUCUCUGCACGGGACGGCUUGUUUCUCAGAGUCGUCUUCCGGCACCCCAGGCCCAGGCCCAGGAGCCUCAGAAGGUCGAGAGUCUGCUCUGCCCUCAGGUCCACUCCUGCAGUCUGCACACGCUCCCUGUCCUGGAGUUGGAUCUCCUGGAUGUAUUCCAUGAAGUCAUCAAAUAACAAAAUCAUUUACUGGGUCUGAAUCUCCUGUUUUUAAAGGAUAAGAAGCUAUUUUCAUUGUCUAAAAUCUCUUGAAAUGAAGAUCUUAUGAAAAAUCACGUUUCCUGCUGCAGCUUCACCACCGCUUGGAGCUCCGUGCAUGUGCACCUGGGGCUUCUCCACCCAGUGGCGGUUCCCCUCCACCGAUGGCAGUUUUUCGGGCGUGUGCGCGAACACGAGGGCUUCUUCGUGGUAGGAAAACUUGCCUUUGUUGUGCCUGAGUCUUUCAUCCUGAAUCCUUUGCUUACCUCGACAAGCGCCCACUGGGCUUUCCACGCCCCUUCACUAGUCCUGGCAGAAGCUAUCAUCAAGAAAGCGUCUGCAGAUUCUGUUUGUCUGCUCAGGGCAUCUGUGAAGAAACAGAUCAUAUUCUGUGAUCCCCAAAACCUCAUCCUCAUUAACAAAUUUUGGAAUCCAGUGAACAUCAGGGAAAUCCUUGGAGCUGGAGGAAGGUCCUCCAGUUCCUGAAGUUGUACACUCUGGGCUUUGGCCGACAUAACUCUAAGGUGAGGCUAGACCUGGGUGCAGUUUUCACUGCCUCUCUCUACAGCAACCUCCCCAGAACAGAGCCAGCUCUCCAGGGGCCGGAGACAGCCAGACACUGAGUAGAAGGAGACUUCUCUACUCCUUCCUGUAGGGCACCCUGGUCUUGGAGCCAGAAGGUCUGGCUUCUAGCUCAUCUUAGUAUAAUCAGAAACUUCUAGAGCCUGGGCAAGCUACUUAUUGUCUAGAGCCUUGGGUUCACUGAUUUAUAACAUAUCGUUAGAUGAAAUAAAGAUGAUUUCUAAGAUC
This is a non-coding RNA of Ictidomys tridecemlineatus (thirteen-lined ground squirrel), 1349 nucleotides long. The record is from RefSeq and is a predicted model, not a curated record. Lineage: Eukaryota; Metazoa; Chordata; Mammalia; Rodentia; Sciuridae.